RNAcentral lists this ribosomal RNA (392 nucleotides) under uncultured bacterium. RNAcentral describes it as "partial 16S ribosomal RNA". It matches the Rfam family "Bacterial small subunit ribosomal RNA", at positions 523 to 918 of the family's 1533-position model. The record is from RNAcentral.
AUACGGAGGAUGCGAGCGUUAUCCGGAUUUAUUGGGUUUAAAGGGUGCGCAGGCGGCCAUUUAAGUCAGCGGUUAAAUCGUGGGGCUCAACCCCAUUCUGCCGUUGAUACUGGGUGGCUUGAUUGCGGUCGAGGUUGGCGGAAUUCGUUGUGUAGCGGUGAAAUGCAUAGAUAUGACGAAGAACACCGAUUGCGUAGGCAGCUGACCAGACCGCAAAUGACGCUCAUGCACGAAAGUACGGGGAUCGAACAGGAUUAGAUACCCUGGUAGUCCGCACAGUAAACGAUGAAUACUUGUUUUCGGCGAUAUAAUGUCGGAGGCAAAGCGAAAGCGAUAAGUAUUCCACCUGGGGAGUACGCCGGCAACGGUGAAACUCAAAUGAAUUGACGGGG